Salvelinus namaycush (lake trout) is the source of this 995-nucleotide long non-coding RNA. RefSeq lists it as uncharacterized. The record is from RefSeq and is a predicted model, not a curated record. Lineage: Eukaryota; Metazoa; Chordata; Actinopteri; Salmoniformes; Salmonidae. The transcript is spliced from 2 exons.
GUAAUUGUCAUACCUGUGGUACACUGUCUGAUAUACCACAAUUUUCAACUAAUCAGCUUUCAGGGCUCAAACCACCCAGUUUAUAAUUCUAAAUAAAUCAAUUUUGCGAUUGUGCAUAAGUAUAGAUAAAUCCGACAGGAGAGUGAGUGAUGAAAGUUGGACAGAGGAUCUUGAAAUCUCUGUGCAAGAAACCAUUGGAUGAACUUUGAAAAACGAAUGUUGGUGUCCCCAGGACUGAGUUUGGGAAAAGCUGCCCUAGAAUCUUCAGACACAGAUUAACACACAUACACAGAUCUGAACAGCUGCAUCAGAGGCUGUAUUGGGCCGGAGGGCACAGAGGAAUGGAGCAUUCUGAUUGGCACUUUCUGGCAGACCCUGUGUAUAUUAAUUUGGGAGUCUGUUCUGCAGGCUGUUUAGAACCUGGAUGGCCCGAUACCACUGGGAGAUAUCAAAAACACAGACUGAAAUCUACUGAUGUUAUGGACACACACUCUGGGUGAUACUGGCAGAGUGAUUGUAUGGACAGUUACAGCCCUAAGCCGACUCCCACUACAAAUGAACUCUGCAUUUUUGUCUAGCGAGCAAAUGGAUCUGACAAGCAGAAGGGCCUUAUGUUGUGUAGGAGUGACAUGUGUAUGGACACACACUGUGAGAUACGGGGUGAUGUUAGGGACACAGAAACCCUCAGUAUGAUACAGACAGUGACGGGGUGUUGAACUGCAGUACAGCGUCUGGGCUGUUCCCUGGAUCCAUGGACCAGCACAGGGACUCCAGAAGGCACAGUUGUGGACCUGGACCUAGAAUGAACAGUUGCCAUGACGUUCCACCGCUUCUGCUCCUUUCAAUUUCUAUUUUUGUGAUUGUUGUUUAUUGUGUCUCUACGAUUCCAAAGGUUCCCUGGUACUCCUUGUCCUAACCUCAACAAGCUGCAACCACAGCCAGGCUCACUUUAUUGAAUGAAAUGUUAUAAAGGCUUGAUGUUGGUGUCUUUUGUA